CAGGAUGUCUUGUAAAAUAUCAUUAUCUAUAGGUAGAGGAAUGAGGGUCAACUUUAAGGAAUGAUCAUGAUAAAAUUUCAAGCAUAGCACAUGAGAUACCACAUGUAGCAGUGGAAACUCAAGCUCCACCCACUUCUCUGCAGUCAAAGGGAAAGUAGUAGCAUUAUCAUCAUUAUUGGUUCAAACUAGAGGCCUAAACUUGGGACAACCAAUUCCAAUAAACUCAGAUAAACGACCAAUGAUAAGAACAAAAGGUCAUGGUUAAGUAACAAUUAAAUAAACUUGUGUGAAAAAUAUCUUAUUUAUUAAGAGAAUUUUACUAUGUAAUUCAUAAUAUAACUUUUUAGAUGUAACUGUAUCUCGCUCAAUC
RNAcentral lists this long non-coding RNA (370 nucleotides) under Manihot esculenta (cassava). Its description in RNAcentral is "long non-coding RNA (MESC_LNC012863)". Lineage: Eukaryota; Viridiplantae; Streptophyta; Magnoliopsida; Malpighiales; Euphorbiaceae. The record is from RNAcentral.